AUGGUGUCAUAAGUUGUGUACGGCGCUCACUUUAGUGCCAAAAGUUUCCGUCGGAUCACUUAAGUGCCAAAAAAUUUGAAAAACGCUCACUUUGGUGCCAACGCCGAUCUGAUCGGCCGGAAAUCUGACGUGGCGUUUUUUUAUUAAUUUUUUAGGCUGACGUGGCUUGCCGGAGAGCACAAUCAGCAUCUAAACCACAAAAACGACGUCGUUUGGCUUCUUUCCCCCAAAUCGAAACCCUAAAUCCCCAAAUUGAAAGAGAGAG
This 265-nucleotide long non-coding RNA is filed under the name Eucalyptus grandis. RNAcentral's name for it is "long non-coding RNA (EGRA_LNC005445)". Lineage: Eukaryota; Viridiplantae; Streptophyta; Magnoliopsida; Myrtales; Myrtaceae. The record is from RNAcentral.